Long non-coding RNA from Helicoverpa armigera (cotton bollworm), 1620 nucleotides. RefSeq lists it as uncharacterized. The transcript has 3 exons. The record is from RefSeq and is a predicted model, not a curated record. NCBI's taxonomy places the organism in Eukaryota, Metazoa, Arthropoda, Insecta, Lepidoptera, Noctuidae.
GUUCUACGAAUUGCAUUAAGGUGGGCUUGAAAACAAGAGAGAGUCAACGACAUCAGAGUAAAAGAGAUAAAUAUAUAAUGUUGCCACCAAAAAUACAAUUUCGUAUUCUCCCUAAUAAUGAGCGUAUAAAUUGAUUUUUAAAGUAAAUUACCCUUGAAGAUACUUUUAGCUAUUAUUCUAAUGCCAAAAAAUAUACUUAGUUGAGAAAUAUUAGAUAUAAAAUUUAAUAUUACUUAUUAGAAAAUAUAUAUGGGGGAUUAUGUGUGGCAACACUAAUGUCCGGACGCCAUAUUGGUUUUGACAUUGUUGACGUCACAAGAAAAAUGUCUGCGGCCGGUUGCGCACCAUUUUAUCUUGUACUAAUGUUUAUUUGUAAUAAAUAAACUACUUCCAUUUAAUUCUACAUACAUUGAUAACGUUGAGUCGAGCUUGCUCCUCCGUUGCUGUGUUUUGGUGAAAUUAAGUGUGUAUUUGUGAGAUAUAGACUCGGUGUUGAGACAGUGACUUGUUUGAUUUUGUUUUGUGUUUAAUUCGCGAUGAGUUCACAAAAAGAAAACACAAGAAUCUGCUGCUUGUGUGGAUCUUCACCUUCUAAAGAUCCCAGCAUCACUUUGCAUCGGUUUCCAAAGCCUGGCACUAAAAAUGCUCUGCGUUGUGAAUUAUGGGCAAAGUAUUGCUUCCCAAACGAAGCCUGGUCUUCACCAAAAUUCCAGGACGCACUCCAUAAACAACAUAAGAUGCUAUGCAGCAAACAUUUCAAAAGCACAUGCUUUAAUGAGAAGAAGUUGUUCAGAACAGCUGUACCUGAUGUUCAAUGCCAAAAGGAUACAACAACUUCUAAUGUGCCAGAUCAAUCUGCCAUAUUUGAACCUGUUGCCGGUCCAUCCAGAAUGAAUCCUUUAACAGAACAUAAUGUAAACAUUAUCACUCCGACCAAUUCAGGAAUGUUUGUGUAUAAUCACAUACUUGUGAUUUAUGAACACCUUUUGUACCCUAUUUCUGGAAAUAAAUUAUAAUUAUUAACAUGCUAAAUAAAAAACUCUUGUACUGUAAUCUUCCUUUUAUUACACUGCUGCACUGCUCUAUAAAGAUAAAUAUUAGCAAUUUAUGCACAAGUACACUGUGUUUCAUGUCGAUUAUUGCUGAGCAAAAUGUGAUAAUCUUGCUCAGCCAUAAUCGACGAACGCACUGGGGCCCGAUUCUCCUAAUUUUACGAUUCAGUCGAGUCGAUUCACAUUCGACUGAGAUUCAAUCCCGACUCAAUUACGAUUGAAGCAUAUGUGGCAUUCCGCUAUUUUUUCUUUGAAAUAAACGUUUUUAUCCUUUUCUGUCAUUCAAUAAUGAAUCAUUUUGUCUGCAAAUGAUUUACGAUUGCAAUAUGAUUGUAGAGCAAACUACCGUAUAGACCAAAAUCACCAAAAUAGCAGACCAAUCGCAAACCAAUCGAAUGUCGUUGGAAUACGAUUGGUCUUAUAUUAGUAGCAGAAUGCCCGAUAUGGUUAAAACUGCUACUGCGAUCAUAUUGCGAUUCAAUUUCUAUUCGAUUUUAACAUUAUUAACUUAGGAGAAUCGGGCCCCUGUACUUGUGCAUAAAAUGCAAUAAAAAUGACCUAUAGAAUA